This 1192-nucleotide ribosomal RNA is filed under the name metagenome. Its description in RNAcentral is "SSU rRNA". It matches the Rfam family "Eukaryotic small subunit ribosomal RNA", at positions 558 to 1801 of the family's 1831-position model. The record is from RNAcentral.
AGUCUGGUGCCAGCAGCCGCGGUAAUUCCAGCUCCAAUAGCGUAUACUUAAGUUGUUGCAGUUAAAAAGCUCGUAGUUGAAAUUCGAAUUAGUCACUGUGCGGCUUGCCGUGCUGUUGGCUGGUUCUCCGUCUAUAAUCUUUUUGCCUUCGAAAGUUGGUAAGAUGCUGAGUAGACAAUUUACCUUGAAAAAAAUUAGAGUGUUUCAGGCAGGUUUUCGCCGGAAUACAUUAGCAUGGAAUAAUGGAAUAGGACUGUGGUCUGUUGUUGGUUUUUGGACCAUUGUAAUGAUUAAUAGGGACAGAUGGGGGCAUUAGUAUUUAAUUGUCAGAGGUGAAAUUCUUGGAUUUAUUAAAGACUAACUUAUGCGAAAGCAUUUGCCAAGGAUGUUUUCAUUAAUCAAGAACGAAAGUUAGGGGAUCAAAGACGAUCAGAUACCGUCGUAGUCUUAACUAUAAACUAUACCGACUCGGGAUCGGAUGGGUAUAAAAUUAGGCCCAUUCGGCACCGUAAGAGAAACCAAAGUCUUUGGGUUCUGGGGGGAGUAUGGUCGCAAGGCUGAAACUUAAAGGAAUUGACGGAAGGGCACCACCAGGAGUGGAGCCUGCGGCUUAAUUUGACUCAACACGGGGAAACUUACCAGGUCAAAACAUGGAUGGGAUUGACAGAUUGAAAGCUCUUUCUUGAUUCUAUGGGUGGUGGUGCAUGGCCGUUCUUAGUUGGUGGAGUGAUUUGUCUGGUUAAUUCCGUUAACGAUCGAGACCUUAACCUGCUAACUAGUUCAUUCUUGAAUAAAGGUGUAACUUCUUAGAGGGACUAUGUACGUCAAGUACAUGGAAGUUUAAGGCAAUAACAGGUCUGUGAUGCCCCUAGACGUCCUGGGCCGCACGCGCGCUACACUGAUACGUUCAGCGAGUUCAUUAACCUGACCCGACAGGGUUCGGGAAAUCUUGUUAGGACGUAUCGUGCUGGGGAUAGAUCUUUGCAAUUAUAGAUCUUGAACGAGGAAUUCCUUGUAAGCACAGGUCAUCAGCCUGUGCUGAAUACGUCCCUGCCCUUUGUACACACCGCCCGUCGCUCCUACCGAUUUCGAGUGAUGUGGUGAACUAUCUGGACUGUGGGGGGGCUCGAACCUCUUGCAGGAAGUUUCGUAAACCUUAUCGCUUAGAGGAAGGAGAAGUCGUAACAAGGUU